UAGCAUAUCAAUAAGCGGAGGAAAAGAAACCAACAGGGAUUGCCCUAGUAACGGCGAGUGAAGCGGCAACAGCUCAAAUUUGAAAUCUGGCUCUUUCAGGGUCCGAGUUGUAAUUUGCAGAGGGCGCUUUGGCUUUGGCAGCGGUCCAAGUUCCUUGGAACAGGACGUCACAGAGGGUGAGAAUCCCGUACGUGGUCGCUAGCUAUUGCCGUGUAAAGCCCCUUCGACGAGUCGAGUUGUUUGGGAAUGCAGCUCUAAAUGGGAGGUAAAUUUCUUCUAAAGCUAAAUACUGGCCAGAGACCGAUAGCGCACAAGUAGAGUGAUCGAAAGAUGAAAAGCACUUUGGAAAGAGAGUCAAACAGCACGUGAAAUUGUUGAAAGGGAAGCGCUUGCAGCCAGACUUGCUUGCAGUUGCUCAUCCGGACUUUUGUCCGGUGCACUCUUCUGCAGGCAGGCCAGCAUCAGUUUGGGCGGUGGGAUAAAGGUCUCUGUCACGUACCUCUCUUCGGGGAGGCCUUAUAGGGGAGACGACAUACCACCAGCCUGGACUGAGGUCCGCGCAUUUGCUAGGAUGCUGGCGUAAUGGCUGUAAGCGGCCCGUCUUGAAACACGGACCAAGGAGUCUAACAUCUAUGCGAGUGUUUGGGUGUCAAGCCCGAACGCGUAAUGAAAGUGAACGGAGGUGGGAACCCGCAAGGGUGCACCAUCGACCGAUCCUGAUGUCUUCGGAAGGAUUUGAGUAAGAGCAUGGCUGUUGGGACCCGAAAGAUGGUGAACUAUGCUUGAAUAGGGUGAAGCCAGAGGAAACUCUGGUGGAGGCUCGCAGCGGUUCUGACGUGCAAAUCGAUCGUCAAAUUUGGGCAUAGGGGCGAAAGACUAAUCGAACUAUCUAGUAGCUGGUUCCUGCCGA
Molecule: ribosomal RNA, 910 nt
Filed under: Drechslera avenae
Lineage: Eukaryota; Fungi; Ascomycota; Dothideomycetes; Pleosporales; Pleosporaceae
Also listed under: 1 other name
Description: LSU rRNA
Rfam family: Eukaryotic large subunit ribosomal RNA
Source: RNAcentral